GGCGUGAUAGCUCAGUUGGGAGAGCAGCAGACUGAAGACUUGCUUUCUGAAGGUCCCGCGUUCAAUCCGCGGUCAUGCCA
RNAcentral lists this transfer RNA (80 nucleotides) under Schizophyllum commune. RNAcentral describes it as "tRNA-Phe". It matches the Rfam family "tRNA". Rfam says of the family: Transfer RNA (tRNA) molecules are approximately 80 nucleotides in length. The record is from RNAcentral. RNAcentral also lists the same sequence under 1 other name. Lineage: Eukaryota; Fungi; Basidiomycota; Agaricomycetes; Agaricales; Schizophyllaceae.